This 428-nucleotide ribosomal RNA is filed under the name uncultured bacterium. Its description in RNAcentral is "partial 16S ribosomal RNA". It matches the Rfam family "Bacterial small subunit ribosomal RNA", at positions 354 to 796 of the family's 1533-position model. The record is from RNAcentral.
GUGGGGAAUAUUGGGCAAUGGGCGGAAGCCUGACCCAGCGACGCCGCGUGGGGGAAGAAGUCUUUCGGGAUGUAAACCCUUGUUGUACGGGACGAAGGAAGUGACGGUACCGUACGAGGAAGCCCCGGCAAACUACGUGCCAGCAGCCGCGGUAAUACGUAGGGGGCGAGCGUUGUCCGGAAUCACUGGGCGUAAAGCGCACGUAGGCGGGCUGUCAAGUCGGCCGUGAAAGGCACGGGCUCAACCUGUGCAUGUCGGUCGAUACUGGCGGUCUGGAGUAUGGGAGAGGGAAGCGGAAUUCCCGGUGUAGCGGUGAAAUGCGUAGAUAUCGGGGGGAACACCAGUGGCGAAGGCGGCUUCCUGGCACAAUACUGACGCUCAUGUGCGAAAGCUAGGGCAGCGAACGGGAUUAGAUACCCUGGUAGUCC